UGCCCCCUGCGGUGUUUGAACCGCGCCGGAAACCCUUUGGACCUAUAAGCUACUACCUGGGAACCGGAGCACUGGUGCCGUUGUGCAAGCCUGCCUCGUAGCAGGAAGCCUGAAGCGCCAUCUUGGGUGACCUCCUUGAACUCUGCUGGUUCAAGGUCAACGGCCGGUACGGCACAGGCGGAGGGCAU
RNAcentral lists this non-coding RNA (188 nucleotides) under Pseudomonadota bacterium. RNAcentral describes it as "Proteobacteria bacterium (cold seep metagenome) 6S RNA". It matches the Rfam family "6S / SsrS RNA". From Rfam's summary of the family: E. coli 6S RNA was the first non coding RNA to be sequenced, but its function was unknown until recently. Lineage: Bacteria; Pseudomonadati; Pseudomonadota. The record is from RNAcentral.